GGUUAAGUUAGAAAGGGCGCACGGUGGAUGCCUUGACACUAGGAGUCGAUGAAGGACGGGACUAACGCCGAUAUGCUUCGGGGAGCUGUAAGUAAGCUUUGAUCCGAAGAUUUCCGAAUGGGGAAACCCACCAUACGUAAUGGUAUGGUAUCCUUAUCUGAAUACAUAGGGUAAGGAAGACAGACCCAGGGAACUGAAACAUCUAAGUACCUGGAGGAAGAGAAAGCAAAUGCGAUUUCCUGAGUAGCGGCGAGCGAAACGGAACACAGCCCAAACCAAGAGGCUUGCCUCUUGGGGUUGUAGGACAUUCUAUACGGAGUUACAAAGGAACGAGGUAGACGAAGCGACCUGGAAAGGUCCGUCGUAGAGGGUAACAACCCCGUAGUCGAAACUUCGUUCUCUCUUGAAUGUAUCCUGAGUACGGCGGAACACGUGAAAUUCCGUCGGAAUCUGGGAGGACCAUCUCCCAAGGCUAAAUACUCCCUAGUGAUCGAUAGUGAACCAGUACCGUGAGGGAAAGGUGAAAAGCACCCCGGAAGGGGAGUGAAAGAGAUCCUGAAACCGUGUGCCUACAAAUAGUCAGAGCCCGUUAACGGGUGAUGGCGUGCCUUUUGUAGAAUGAACCGGCGAGUUACGAUCCCGUGCGAGGUUAAGCUGAAGAGGCGGAGCCGCAGCGAAAGCGAGUCUGAAUAGGGCGUUUAGUACGUGGUCGUAGACCCGAAACCAGGUGAUCUACCCAUGUCCAGGGUGAAGUUCAGGUAACACUGAAUGGAGGCCCGAACCCACGCACGUUGAAAAGUGCGGGGAUGAGGUGUGGGUAGCGGAGAAAUUCCAAUCGAACCUGGAGAUAGCUGGUUCUCCCCGAAAUAGCUUUAGGGCUAGCCUUAAGUGUAAGAGUCUUGGAGGUAGAGCACUGAUUGGACUAGGGGUCCUCAUCGGAUUACCGAAUUCAGUCAAACUCCGAAUGCCAAUGACUUAUCCUUAGGAGUCAGACUGCGAGUGAUAAGAUCCGUAGUCAAAAGGGAAACAGCCCAGACCGCCAGCUAAGGUCCCAAAGUGUGUAUUAAGUGGAAAAGGAUGUGGAGUUGCUUAGACAACUAGGAUGUUGGCUUAGAAGCAGCCACCAUUUAAAGAGUGCGUAAUAGCUCACUAGUCGAGUGACUCUGCGCCGAAAAUGUACCGGGGCUAAAUACACCACCGAAGCUGCGGAUUGAUACCAAUGGUAUCAGUGGUAGGGGAGCGUUCUAAGGACAGUGAAGUCAGACCGUAAGGACUGGUGGAGUGCUUAGAAGUGAGAAUGCCGGUAUGAGUAGCGAAAGACGGGUGAGAAUCCCGUCCACCGAAUGCCUAAGGUUUCCUGAGGAAGGCUCGUCCGCUCAGGGUUAGUCAGGACCUAAGCCGAGGCCGACAGGCGUAGGCGAUGGACAACAGGUUGAUAUUCCUGUACCACCUCUUUAUCGUUUGAGCAAUGGAGGGACGCAGAAGGAUAGAAGAAGCGUGCGAUUGGUUGUGCACGUCCAAGCAGUUAGGCUGAUAAGUAGGCAAAUCCGCUUAUCGUGAAGGCUGAGCUGUGAUGGGGAAGCUCCUUAUGGAGCGAAGUCUUUGAUUCCCCGCUGCCAAGAAAAGCUUCUAGCGAGAUAAAAGGUGCCUGUACCGCAAACCGACACAGGUAGGCGAGGAGAGAAUCCUAAGGUGUGCGAGAGAACUCUGGUUAAGGAACUCGGCAAAAUGACCCCGUAACUUCGGGAGAAGGGGUGCUUUCUUAACGGAAAGCCGCAGUGAAUAGGCCCAAGCGACUGUUUAGCAAAAACACAGCUCUCUGCGAAGCCGUAAGGCGAAGUAUAGGGGGUGACACCUGCCCGGUGCUGGAAGGUUAAGGAGAGGGGUUAGCGUAAGCGAAGCUCUGAACUGAAGCCCCAGUAAACGGCGGCCGUAACUAUAACGGUCCUAAGGUAGCGAAAUUCCUUGUCGGGUAAGUUCCGACCCGCACGAAAGGUGUAACGAUUUGGGCACUGUCUCAACCAGAGACUCGGUGAAAUUAUAGUACCUGUGAAGAUGCAGGUUACCCGCGACAGGACGGAAAGACCCCGUGGAGCUUUACUGUAGCCUGAUAUUGAAUUUUGGUACAGUUUGUACAGGAUAGGCGGGAGCCAUUGAAACCGGAGCGCUAGCUUCGGUGGAGGCGCUGGUGGGAUACCGCCCUGACUGUAUUGAAAUUCUAACCUACGGGUCUUAUCGACCCGGGAGACAGUGUCAGGUGGGCAGUUUGACUGGGGCGGUCGCCUCCUAAAGUGUAACGGAGGCGCCCAAAGGUUCCCUCAGAAUGGUUGGAAAUCAUUCGUAGAGUGCAAAGGCAUAAGGGAGCUUGACUGCGAGACCUACAAGUCGAGCAGGGACGAAAGUCGGGCUUAGUGAUCCGGUGGUUCCGCAUGGAAGGGCCAUCGCUCAACGGAUAAAAGCUACCCCGGGGAUAACAGGCUUAUCUCCCCCAAGAGUCCACAUCGACGGGGAGGUUUGGCACCUCGAUGUCGGCUCAUCGCAUCCUGGGGCUGUAGUCGGUCCCAAGGGUUGGGCUGUUCGCCCAUUAAAGCGGUACGCGAGCUGGGUUCAGAACGUCGUGAGACAGUUCGGUCCCUAUCCGUCGUGGGCGUAGGAAAUUUGAGAGGAGCUGUCCUUAGUACGAGAGGACCGGGAUGGACGCACCGCUGGUGUACCAGUUGUUCUGCCAAGGGCAUAGCUGGGUAGCUAUGUGCGGAAGGGAUAAGUGCUGAAAGCAUCUAAGCAUGAAGCCCCCCUCAAGAUGAGAUUUCCCAUAGCGUAAGCUAGUAAGAUCCCUGAAAGAUGAUCAGGUUGAUAGGUUCGAGGUGGAAGCAUGGUGACAUGUGGAGCUGACGAAUACUAAUAGAUCGAGGACUUAACCAU
RNAcentral lists this ribosomal RNA (2922 nucleotides) under Bacillus cereus. RNAcentral's name for it is "23S ribosomal RNA". It matches the Rfam family "Bacterial large subunit ribosomal RNA". The record is from RNAcentral. Lineage: Bacteria; Bacillati; Bacillota; Bacilli; Caryophanales; Bacillaceae.